GAUGAACGCUGGCGGCGUGCCUAAUACAUGCAAGUCGAACGGAAGGACGCGGAGCUUGCUUCGUUGAUGUUAGCCGCGGGCGGGUGUGUAACACGUGUAUCCCCUACCUAUAUUUCUGGGAUAACUUCGGAACUGCGGCUCUUACAGCAUAGAAUCUCUUGAUCCACAGUGUGGGAUGGUAAAAUACGGUGUUGGGGUCUCGUCUAGCGGGAUCCGCGCUGCAUUAGCUGGUUGGUGAGGUCACGGCUUACGAAGGCAAGGAUGCGUGGCCGAACGGAGAGGGGGAUCGGCCACAUGGGAGCUGGAACACGGUCCAGACUACUACGGGAGGCAGCAGUAGGGAAUCUGCGGCAAUGGGCGAAAGCCUGACGGAGCAACGGCGCGCGAGUGAUGAAGGUCUUCGGAUCGUAAAACUCUGUUAUGAGGGAAGAACAGAUGUGGAAGGAACUGUGCAGAGAGUGACGGUACCUAAUCAGAAAGCCACGGCUAACUACGUG
This 497-nucleotide ribosomal RNA is filed under the name uncultured bacterium. RNAcentral's name for it is "partial 16S ribosomal RNA". It matches the Rfam family "Bacterial small subunit ribosomal RNA", at positions 28 to 507 of the family's 1533-position model. The record is from RNAcentral.